This 1054-nucleotide ribosomal RNA is filed under the name Pyricularia oryzae. Its description in RNAcentral is "SSU rRNA". It matches the Rfam family "Eukaryotic small subunit ribosomal RNA", at positions 3 to 1067 of the family's 1831-position model. Lineage: Eukaryota; Fungi; Ascomycota; Sordariomycetes; Magnaporthales; Pyriculariaceae. The record is from RNAcentral.
CCUGGUUGAUUCUGCCAGUAGUCAUAUGCUUGUCUUAAAGAUUAAGCCAUGCAUGUCUAAGUAUAAGCAAUUAUACAGCGAAACUGCGAAUGGCUCAUUAAAUCAGUUAUCGUUUAUUUGAUAGUACCUUACUACAUGGAUAACCGUGGUAAUUCUAGAGCUAAUACAUGCUAAAAACCCCGACUUCGGAAGGGGUGUAUUUAUUAGAUUAAAAACCAAUGCCCUUCGGGGCUCACUGGUGAUUCAUGAUAACUUCUCGAAUCGCACGGCCUUGCGCCGGCGAUGGUUCAUUCAAAUUUCUGCCCUAUCAACUUUCGACGGCUGGGUCUUGGCCAGCCGUGGUGACAACGGGUAACGGAGGGUUAGGGCUCGACCCCGGAGAAAACGCCUGAGAAACGGCGUUUACAUCCAAGGAAGGCAGCAGGCGCGCAAAUUACCCAAUGCCGACACGGCGAGGUAGUGACGAGAAAUACUGAUACAGGGCUCUUUUGGGUCUUGUAAUUGGAAUGAGUACAAUUUAAAUCUCUUAACGAGGAACAAUUGGAGGGCAAGUCUGGUGCCAGCAGCCGCGGUAAUUCCAGCUCCAAUAGCGUAUAUUAAAGUUGUUGCAGUUAAAAAGCUCGUAGUUGAACCUUGGGCCUGGCUGGCCGGUCCGCCUCACCGCGUGCACUGGUCCGGCCGGGCCUUUCCCUCUGGGGAACCGCAUGCCCUUCACUGGGCGUGUCGGGGAACCAGGACUUUUACUUUGAAAAAAUUAGAGUGUUCAAAGCAGGCCUAUGCUCGAAUACAUUAGCAUGGAAUAAUAGAAUAGGACGUGUGGUUCUAUUUUGUUGGUUUCUAGGACCGCCGUAAUGAUUAAUAGGGACAGUCGGGGGCAUCAGUAUUCAAUUGUCAGAGGUGAAAUUCUUGGAUUUAUUGAAGACUAACUACUGCGAAAGCAUUUGCCAAGGAUGUUUUCAUUAAUCAGGAACGAAAGUUAGGGGAUCGAAGAAGAUCAGAUACCGUCGUAGUCUUAACCAUAAACUAUGCCGACUAGGGAUCGGACGGUGUUAUU